Molecule: ribosomal RNA, 255 nt
Filed under: uncultured prokaryote
Description: partial 16S ribosomal RNA
Rfam family: Bacterial small subunit ribosomal RNA
Source: RNAcentral
AUACAGAGGUCUCGAGCGUUAGGCGGAAUCACUGGGCUUAAAGCGUGUGUAGGCGGGUCGUUAAGUACCUUGUGAAAUCCCAUGGCUCAACUAUGGAACUGCUUGGUAUACUGGCGAUCUUGUGCAACCUAGGGGCGAGCGGAACAGAUGGUGGAGCGGUGAAAUGCGUAGAUAUCAUCUGGAACGCCAAUGGUGAAAACAGCUCGCUGGGGGUUUGCAGACGCUGAGACACGAAAGCCAGGGGAGCGAACGGGA